RNAcentral lists this long non-coding RNA (1601 nucleotides) under Nicotiana benthamiana. RNAcentral describes it as "long non-coding RNA (NBEN_LNC038366)". Lineage: Eukaryota; Viridiplantae; Streptophyta; Magnoliopsida; Solanales; Solanaceae. The record is from RNAcentral.
AAGUAUCCAUGCACCUUACAUCGUCUACAAGCCUCUAAGAGUACAUAACAUCAUAAAGGUCGGGACAAAGCCCCAUCCUACCAAUAAAUACAUAUCCAAAUAUUAUUAACCAAAUAGGCAACUCCGGAGCAAGUGUAGUACACCAACACCUUUGCUAAGCUUAUAGCCUAACAAGAGGAAUGUCAACCUGUCUAUCGAGACCUGCGGGCAUGAAACUCACGUCCCCAGGCAAAAGGGACGUCAGUACGAAUAAAGUACCGAGCAUGUAAGACAGGAAAGCAUAAAUAAGAACUGUAAUGUAAAGAGAGAUAGAAGAAAUACAACAUGUAACAUCUUAGUGCCUCUGGGGGCUACUAACAUGAAAUGUAUAAUACAUAUAUAUACAUAAACUUUUAAAAACAUAUGCCUCUGUGGGCAUCAUCAUCAUCAUAUCGUACCUAGCCUCAAAGAGGACUCGGUAAAAAUGUACCCGGCAAUCAUAAGGCUCGGUAGAAUCAUACACGGCCACGUAGAGCUUGGUAAACCCAACUGAUCAGUGGUUGCACAAUAGGUGGCCUACCCGGCCGACUAUAGCGCGGCUUAGUAGAGUAAAAUAGAUACAUAUAGUGUGGUAUUUCUACAAGCGGACCGGCCCCACUAUAUGCUCCAAGAUGUGUACAAUCGAUACAUUCUUGAAUGUUUUAUUCUCGAUCGACUUAUUAGUAUUUUGUUCGGAUACUUCAUCGAUAGAUCAAUUGAAAAUUCAAUAUUAAGUUGUAUCCAACUUAAUAUAAAUUAUAUCCAAAUUUAUUUUGUAUCCAAUUAUAUUAAGUUGUUACUAAAACUUAAAUAUAAAUAUAGCACUACAUCUUAUCAAACUAAGUCGUGCUGGUUGUGGUCGGUAAUAUAUAUAUAUACAAAAAAAAUUAAAUUUAUAUUAUGUAGUAUGUAUAAUUAGAUCAAUUUUUUUAAUCUAACAUUAAAUUAACGACCAACUUUGGUUGGUAUUUAAAUUAAAUAAUGUUUUUAACUUAACAUUAAAUUACCGAUUGAAUUCAGUUGGAAUGGUCGCCCGUACCCCACCAAAAAUCAACUUCUAUCUCCCUCCUAACCCAAAAACAAAACACUUAGAAGUCCCCCUCCUUUCCCCCACUACUGUUCCGCCAGCCACAUUUCCUUCUGCCACCCUUUAACACUAUUCCCCCGGUGUUACAACGAACCACCAGCAAACCACCAUUACAUUAUGUGGUGUUUAUACACACCAUUUCUCUUCUCAACUCCAUAAAAAUAAUACCAAAAGUUACUAUCUAAUAGCAACAUGAAACGGCCCAUAAAGCAGCCCACAACAAGUCGAAUAAUUCGAACUCACAGCUAAUAGAAAUGAAUUUAUCAAACUUCCUUCAUAUUUAAACGCUUAAAUAUAGAAAUAAAUCAUUUUCCUUACUAUUAAAUACCUUCCAAAACUCAAACUACAGAGAAAAAGAGAGGCAAUAUAGUGAUACUUACGUCAUAGGGAUCAUUUUAAUGUUAUCGCUACUUGAUUUCGUGCCCCGGAUGAUAAUCUUGUUGGAAACCCUUGUGGAAAGCUUGAAGGGAAGGUUAGGAGUCUUAUUUGGUUGAGC